GUUGAGAGAAGUUCCUGAUGCAAAAAAGGUAUCAGAUACAGAUAUUUCUUUGAGGAUGGCAGCUAGGAAAGUAGUGAUAGCAUCACAAGAGAUGACACAUUGUGUUUAUGAGAAAGCUUGCAUUUCAAAAAGAUGCUUGUGCAAGAAGAAGGGAAUUCUCUGCAACUCUAAAUAUCAUAAUAAUUUUCCAUAUGAAAACAAGUAGUGUACACCAUAAAUAUAUUUUUUCUGUAAAUUUCAAUUACAGAUAUCCCUCCUGUAACACAGUCUCCUACAACAUGGUUUUGCUCAAACAUGAUUUGAAAAUUGUGUAAACUCUCAUAUAACAUGGUACUUCUACAAUACUG
RNAcentral lists this long non-coding RNA (347 nucleotides) under Androctonus crassicauda. The record is from RNAcentral. Lineage: Eukaryota; Metazoa; Arthropoda; Arachnida; Scorpiones; Buthidae.